GAAGGUGCAUUUCAGAAGGUAUUGAAGGAUUGGCAUGGUCUGUUGGAUCGACACAGACUGAUGCUGGAAGCUUGUAUACUGAAUUCAGUUUCAGAAGAAGAUUAUCUUGAGUUGGGAAGAGCUGGACUGGGAAGUUGUUUGCUGGGUGGGUUACCAGAUUGGGUGAUUGGAUAUUCUGCUCGUCUGGUGCGGUUCAUCAAUUUCGAGAGAACA
Non-coding RNA from Camelina sativa (false flax), 213 nucleotides. Lineage: Eukaryota; Viridiplantae; Streptophyta; Magnoliopsida; Brassicales; Brassicaceae. The record is from RefSeq and is a predicted model, not a curated record.